UAGAUACCCUGGUAGUCCUGGCCGUAAACGAUGGGCACUGGGUAGGGGGCUCGCCGAUGGGCUCCCUGCCGUAGGGAAACCGUGAAGUGCCCCGCCUGGGGAGUAUGGUCGCAAGGCUGAAACUCAAAGGAAUUGACGGGGGCUCACACAAGCGGUGGAGUAUGUGGCUUAAUUCGAGGCUACGCGCAAAACCUUAUCCCAGGCUUGACAUGCACGGAUUAGCCGGCGGAAACGUCGGUGAGGCCGCAAG
RNAcentral lists this ribosomal RNA (250 nucleotides) under uncultured bacterium. RNAcentral describes it as "partial 16S ribosomal RNA". It matches the Rfam family "Bacterial small subunit ribosomal RNA", at positions 779 to 1023 of the family's 1533-position model. The record is from RNAcentral.